This 350-nucleotide ribosomal RNA is filed under the name uncultured Archaeospora. Its description in RNAcentral is "partial 28S ribosomal RNA". The record is from RNAcentral. Lineage: Eukaryota; Fungi; Glomeromycota; Glomeromycetes; Archaeosporales; Archaeosporaceae.
GAGAGUAAAACAGUACGUGAAAUUGUUGAAAGGGAAACGCUUGAAGUCAGUCGUGCCGGCGUUGGAUUCAGCUUGCUUCGCGGAGCAGGCGCAUUUCCGCGCAUGGCAGGUCAGCGUCAGUUUUGCGCGGCGUGAAAAGGCUCGGGUAAGGUAGCUCUCUUCGGGGAGUGUUAUAGACCUGGGCAGAUGCGCUGCGCGGGACUGAGGAUUGCAGCGGACACCCCCUCGGGGGCGCGGCGACCGAACCCUGCUCGGCCACCCUCGUUCGAUAGCGGACGCGGGAGCGGCAGUGCACCGGAACAGGCAAGCCAGCGGUUCGCUAAGGAUGCUGACGUAAUGGCUUUAAACGA